GUUUCGUCUGUUGCUCUGUCAAGCGAAGGCUCCCGCUUAUCUCUAAUCCACAAUAAUCCUUACACUAUUUCUCUAAUUGUCAUCCUCUCAUCACUUGUUGUCACCUGUUUUCUUAUUUAUCACUGAUUACUAAUAACUCUUUGAAUUUUGAAGCAAUAUUA
Non-coding RNA from Caenorhabditis elegans, 161 nucleotides. The record is from Ensembl. NCBI's taxonomy places the organism in Eukaryota, Metazoa, Nematoda, Chromadorea, Rhabditida, Rhabditidae.